GUGCUCACUUCAGUAGCACAUAUACUAAAAUUGGAACAAUACAGAGAUUAGCAUGGCCCCUGUACAAGGAUGACACGCUAAUUCAUGAAUCAUUGCAUAUUUUU
This is a small nuclear RNA of Nannospalax galili (Upper Galilee mountains blind mole rat), 104 nucleotides long. NCBI's taxonomy places the organism in Eukaryota, Metazoa, Chordata, Mammalia, Rodentia, Spalacidae. The record is from Ensembl.